GUUUUCCGUUUUUUAUCAAAAGAGAGCAGCCGCCCCCCAACAUACCAACAACAGAAGAGGGGGGGAUAUGGUCAAAAAAUAACAAAUCCGGGCAUUUUAAGUUUGGUAAUGGGAAGAGUACCAAUUUAAAUCCCUUAACGGGGAUCCAUGGGGGGCAAGUAUGGGGCCAGCAGCCGGGGUAAUUCCAGAUCCAAUACCGGGAAAUCAAAGGAUGUUGCAGUUUAAAAAAUUGGGAUUGGAAUUUCGGGUGGGUUUACACGGGCCCGCCCCAUGGUGAGGCAUUGUAUUGGCCUUUCCUUUUUGGUCGGGAACGGGGUUUUUGGGCUUAACCUCCCCGGGAACUGGGAUUGGAGGGGGUACCUUUCGGUUAAAUAAGAGUGUUCAAAGCAGGUUUACGCCCUGAUUACUUAAGCAUGGAAUAACCCGAUAGGACUCUGGCCUAUCUUGUUGGUCUGUAGGACUGGAGUAAUGAUUAAGAGGGACAGUCGGGGGCAUUCGUAUUUCAUUGUCAGAGGUGAAAUUCUUGGAUUUAUGAAAGACGAACUACUGCGAAAGCAUUUGCCAAGGAUGUUUUCAUUAAUCAAGAACGAAAGUUGGGGGCUCGAAGACGAUUAGAUACCGUCGUAGUCUCAACCAUAAACGAUGCCGACUAGGGAUUGGCGAAUGUUUUUUUAAUGACUUCGCCAGCACCUUAUGAGAAAUCAAAGUUUUUGGGUUCCGGGGGGAGUAUGGUCGCAAGGCUGAAACUUAAAGGAAUUGACGGAAGGGCACCACCAGGCGUGGAGCCUGCGGCUUAAUUUGACUCAACACGGGUAUAACAUAUAGCACAGCUACGCAGAGCACUAGCGAAGAAAGACUAGGAUAGAAAGGACUCUUCGCGUCUCCCUCCCCGCUA
Molecule: ribosomal RNA, 895 nt
Filed under: Graesiella emersonii
Lineage: Eukaryota; Viridiplantae; Chlorophyta; Trebouxiophyceae; Chlorellales; Chlorellaceae
Description: partial 18S ribosomal RNA
Rfam family: Eukaryotic small subunit ribosomal RNA
Source: RNAcentral